Long non-coding RNA from Ornithorhynchus anatinus (platypus), 745 nucleotides. RefSeq lists it as uncharacterized. The transcript is spliced from 3 exons. The record is from RefSeq and is a predicted model, not a curated record. Lineage: Eukaryota; Metazoa; Chordata; Mammalia; Monotremata; Ornithorhynchidae.
GGUUUUCAUAAUAAACAAGACUGAGCUGAGCUGAGCUCUUUAUCCAGAACACACACUGGAGAGACCUAGAGCAGAGAUGCUCUCGGGCACUAAAGCUUCUCCAUUCCCCGCAGUCGACUCUCCAAGGCCCGGGGCAGAUGGGGACCGGGUUGCAGCCGAGCUUGAACAAACAUUUCCCCGGAAAGGACUGGCAGCCACUAGCUGGCCGAGAACAGCCAAGCAGACGGAUGUUAGAACACCUGAUGUGGACUCUCCAGAGUGGGGCAAGUUUCCGUCCCACUGUGAUUUCACUGCAUCAGAAGAUUGACUGAUCUUCCGAUCGGUCAGAUCCUGUCUGCAGGAACCAAUCAGAGGACGUGACACAUCGGUGUGCUGUGAAUCGAUCCCUUCAACUGGGCGGAGGACGGUCAGAUAUGGGUACCCGGGAACACCCACGAUCAAAUCAAACAUAGCUUAGCACCGUUAACAUGUACCCAGGAAAUGCAGCUUGUGCCAGGUAGAUGGGGGGGGCACAGCAGCCUCUCUCUGGACUCUUCCAACCACAUCCAAAAUGGUAGCCUUGGCCCGGGAAAAGCCUGAUAAAGGACUUAUAUGAUGGGAUGGAAAGAACCUGAACUCCCACCAGUAGCCCUCCCAAGACUCUCAGAUGCCCUCAGGGGAAGAAACCCUGUGAUCCUGAGUAGGGGAUUUUCAAUCAAUAGAGCUUAUUGAAAACUUACUCUGUACAGAGAACUAUGUUUAGCGC